UCCGUAGGCGGACUAAUAAGUCAGGGGUGAAAUCCAACAGCUUAACUGUUGAACUGCCUUUGAUACUGUUAGUCUUGAAUUAUAUGGAAGUAGAUAGAAUGUGUAGUGUAGCGGUGAAAUGCUUAGAGAUUACACAGAAUACCGAUUGCGAAGGCAGUCUACUACGUAUAUAUUGACGCUAAUGGACGAAAGCGUGGGGAGCGAACAGGAUUGGAUACCCUGGUAGUC
RNAcentral lists this ribosomal RNA (228 nucleotides) under uncultured bacterium. RNAcentral's name for it is "partial 16S ribosomal RNA". It matches the Rfam family "Bacterial small subunit ribosomal RNA", at positions 568 to 795 of the family's 1533-position model. The record is from RNAcentral.